GGCAGAAUUAUUGUGAGAAAUGAUGGACCAAUAAUAGAUUCUUAUCAAGAUUAUACUGUUUCUGUCAGUUCGGAUGAUGCCCUAAGCAGCUCAGAUGAGAAUCUCCUGAAAUUCAUAGUCUUCAAUGCUUGUUUUGGCACAUCUUGGACUGUGAUUGCUGGUUUGAUGGAUCCAAAUGCUGUUAAGCAGUUGGAGAAAGAGCACCUUAUACAAAUGGGGACGACAGUGCUUUCCAUGCAGAAUUUGUGGGCUAUGGAAGUUCAAUACAUGAAUACUCUCAGCGAGGCGAGGAACAUUAUUGAACAACUGAUAGACAGGUAAUUAUUCAUAUAGACGGGUAAUUAUUCAUGCUGCUAAAUUUGAAAGUAUGGAUGUUUCUAAAUAUUACGCCCAUGCCGUUUUCCCCAACACGAUGUGGUGGUAUAGCUGGAAGUGUAAACUCCUGUUGCAUUUCUAUGACCUUUUGGCCUUUUGCUUCCCACAUCCAUAAAGUCCUCUUCAGCUGGGCUAUAAAUCUAGUAAAUUGUAUAUAUGCAACAUCUUUAGGGUAACACCAUACAGAUUUAAACUUUCAUGUAAUAUACAUGUGUGUGGCCGA
This 598-nucleotide unclassified non-coding RNA is filed under the name Hevea brasiliensis (rubber tree). The record is from RNAcentral. Lineage: Eukaryota; Viridiplantae; Streptophyta; Magnoliopsida; Malpighiales; Euphorbiaceae.